CAUUGCAAGAUUAACACACACACACUGUCACACAUUCACUCACACAUGCAAACUCUUUCUUUCUCUCCCUUUUCUGGCAGUUUUGCGUCAGUGCUAAGACCACAGGGACGGUUGACAUUUCACUCUGGCUCCGUUUCCAUUCCCUGUGAUCACAGCCAUGCUGCCUCGCCUCCCUUAAAGGUCACUGUUGUUGUUUGUCAAAAUCCCAACAAAAACACACCACGCGAUGCUCUUUGUGUGUGUGUGUGUGUGUGUGUGUGUGUGUGUGUGUGUGUGUGUGUGUGUGUGUAUGAGACAAACACAUAAACUGAGAAAGAGGGAAAGUUUGUGUGUUUAACCUGAAGGAUCGUAAAACAAGAGCUGUCAGUCAAAUCAUAUCAAUUUUAUCCAGACCUAACCAUGGUGCGGUGUGUGUGUGCCAGCAGUAGGUGUGAUUUCUUCCUUGUCUGGUUGGUCACUGGUUAUGUCUCAGUUGUUGUUGCAGGUUUUUUAAAUCUGUCCCAAUCCUACCAGGAGUGCCAGUCUAGCACAAAUUUAGCACAGAAAUGUCAUCUGGGAAAAAACUCAUCUUAUAUCUUAUGAAUUACAAGAAUAACUCUGUAGCUCUAACAUAAUUUUACUAGUUUUUCUUAAUAUCCAGUCUAGUUAUAAUCAAUAAAAAAUACCAUAGAUUUUUCUUUUUUUAAUUCUAAAAUGUAUACAGAUAAGCCACAACAGUGAUUUAAUUGGUGAAAAAAUCAAAUCAAUCUAGUGCAAUAAUUUGCUCAACUGGCAUUAUUGAGGAUGUAACUUUGAAACACAUGACCCACCUAACCAUUGUUGCAGACCAAGCACAACCGCUCAAGGCAAUGGCACUGCGAAAAAGAAAAAGAAAAAACUGCUUAGGAACUGCUUGAAGAUCAUGUCAAACUAAACUCUGCAGGAUGUUCUGCAAUAAGCGACAGCAAAGGAGGCCAAGAAGAUGUUUUCUAUUAGGGAGCUAGUUAUUGAACCACAGCUCUGAGUGAAGUAGGUACUAACAGACUUUUUUGGACAUUAAAAUUCAAAGAAAAAAUACCCUUUGUAUUAAAAUCAGUGUUGUUUAUUUUCUUUUGCUUUCUUUUGUUGUUCCCAUGUUAAUCCGGUCUUUAACUCUAAUGCCAUUAGUUGUUUCCAAGUCCAAACUCCGCUUCAGGUCCCAAUGUCAAAUGAACACUGCAGCAUCACUGAGAGUUACAAACUGUCUAAAUUCUUUCAUCUUAAUAAAAUGAUCAGCGUUGCUGCUUUACCAGGUGUAACAAUUAAGUUUAACAUACAGGCAUCCACGAAAACAGAAUUUUUGAAGUUUAACAGAGUCAGAGGUUAGCAGGGAGUUAGCUCGCUAGUUUCCACCCGAACAUAAUAUACCAUGUUCUGACUGAGGGAUUUCUGAAAAAACAUAAACGUAUAGCUCUGCUAUCACUACCGACAUAAAUGAAGACCGAAAACUAAACAGCAGUGACUUUUUUAGAGUUACUGAAGUUGGGCUACCUGGUAAAUAAUGAUGUGCUGUGUGGUGGCUAGCUACAUAGCUAUGGUUAGCAUAAUAUAAACACAUUAGCGCAGUGAAGCUAGAGGAUGAACGCUAACAUUUUUCCAUUUGAUAAAAGUUAAUGUGAGGGUUCCUGAUGGUUAGAGACAAACGCAGUCACAUGGUAGUAUCCUGUAAACAGACCAAACUUCAGUCAGGAGAACAACUGAGAUAAUCCAUCCACAAUAUGAGGUUAAGUUAUUCAUUUACUACUACAUGGGCUGGGCUGUAGUUACAUCAUAAGGUUUUAAAAACUGAGCUUUAAACUAAAUAGUGGUGAUAAAAACUGAGAGAGGCCGACAGUGAUCACUGCGUUUUUUUAGGGGCUAAUGAAAAGCUAUAUAUAGUAAAUAAUGGGUGUCUCUUAUGAUAUCAAUAAUUAAAUGUUAUGUAUUGGAAGGUAACUAUUUUUAUUUACUGAGCCAAAAACUUUUCUUUGAAAUCCACCAGCAUCAUCAUGGUUAUGGGUUAUGAUUAUUUUCAUAUGAGGGAAAAGCCUGAGAGAUGUUGCAUGCCCAGCUACAAACUCUUGGAUGUUUCCAAAAUCAGCCACAGGGAAUCGGUAGCACAUCUGCCAAUGCUGUUCCUCCAAGACACUGAUGGAAGAAAGGGAGAGGCAUCCAGACCGAGGUUGGUCCUGAUUGUCUUCUUUGCUCAUCUUACCCCACGGCAACUGUAGCUGUCCCUGAAUAAUGUGUUUUGAGUCCUGUCUGGUAAAAGUAAAGUAAAAGUCUUAAUCACACAGCUUAUGUGUUACACAUUAAUGUACUGGACUAAUCUAACAGACUUAUCUUACUUAAUAUCCUUAUAGGUAUAUUAACAAGCACAAUAUUUUUGAUAAAUGCACUACUGUGCUCAAUUCAGUAACUAUGUUACAUUUAUUGCCUUUACAAACAUGCCAUUGCUUGCGUUCAGCUAUCCUAUCCACAUUGAGUGGAUAGAAAGAAAGAAAAACAUCAAGCAUUUAUUUUCCCUCCUGCAAAUGUACACUAUCAUUAGCUGAUGUGGCAGGGAGCAAAAUGGUAGAGCGUUUUUGAUUUUUUUUUUUAAGAGUGGCGAUAUGGACAUUCCUUUUAUUUUCAUGUACAAAACAGUAUAAUUGCAAAGUGCAAACUACAUCCAGGACUGAAAUAACUGCAUGCUAGCAGAACAUCGGCUCUUUGCAAACAUCCGAAUAGAGAACAUGCUAACACAAAGCUAGCAAAGAACGCAACGUCAUUGCCGGCACCCAGAGCCUGAUCUUCAACAGGUAACAACAGGAGUAAUGAACAGUCAGAAAUGCAGCAUUGUAGCCUCAGUGUUUCUACAGAUAAACUGCAGUAAUAGUUGCUUUGAAGUUUAUGGGCUGGUUUUCAAUUUUGCUUUGUGUUGUCAGCUUUGUGUUCAUGUCUCAACUCUAAAAGAAAGAUCGUUUGUAUUUCAUCAUUAGGAUAGGGAUUUGUGUGAUCAUGUGGGACUGUAGCUUCAGGUUUAUGUUGUUAAAUGGUAAUUAUGUGACAGUGUGUGUCAUGCCACAUUAUAAAGUAUUGUAAUGAGUAGUGUAACAGGGAGUAAUUAAGUAAUGUAACACAUUACUUUUCUUAACUAAUGUAUAUCUUUUUGUAUUUUUGUAUUUUUUCAGCACAGUGUUAGCUGUAGAUUCUGGACUUAUAUUGAUGAUGAAAAAAUAGAACUUUGUUGAUUUCGUGAAGUAAUUAAAAUCACGAUUGGGUGCAUUUGGUUUUCAGGUUUUAUACAAAUGAAGACAAAAAUGAUUACUAACAAUUUCUUUACACAGACAAAACCAAGGUAAAGAGUGGGCUGUAUGUACAACAGAUAGAAGAGUAUUUUCUAAUGUUAAUUAUUAAAAACAUGACGUUAGGUACACAUAUAAAUUUAUUGUCUAUUAGAGUUUUUAAAUAAUACUAUGUGGGUAGUUGUGGUAUUGACAUUAUUAUUAGAGCCAGGGUAAAAUUUAGAUUAGUAUGACUAAUUCAUGCAAGUGCAUGGGCUGAUUUUUGCUGUGUACAGUCCGGCACCAAAUUAUGUCGUUAGCACAAGAUGGCAACGUCCACAUCAGCAAUGGGUGCUGGCUGAUUGGAUCAAGCUACAGUAGGUGGAUGUUCCAUUUUAUUUCGAUGUGAUGCGAUGUGAAGGCUGCUCUGUCGUAAUCAGUUAUGACAUAACUAUUAAUAGCCUGACCAUCUGCAGGCACAGGCACUGGUCCCACCAAAAAAAAAUAUUUUUCCACAAGUUUCCCCUCUAUAUGCACAAUUUGACUAAAAUGAACAAUGGUUUUCAGCCUUGUAGUAACCAAUCACCAGUCACAAGUCAACAUAGUAUUCUUUUCAGAUAACACCAACUAUUUUCAUGUGUAUUCAAACUUUCAUGUGCUUAUGAUAUUGUAAUGCUUUAAUCUACAAGCAGUAUUAAUGUAAUAUAUUAUACCCGAUGUGUUCCACUUGUAGAAGAUUUUGCAUUAAUAACUUUUUUUUUUAGGUGUGUUAAGGGGCAUCCAUUAUGUAUAGCAAUAUCUUAAUUUUGUCAGUCUAGUAUCCAGACUGGAUAAGAUAAGCAGAGCACUGUUAAAGACUGUUGAACUAGCAUUUAAUAACAUUUUUACACAUUAUAUUGUGUUUUCUGUUAUAAUCAUGGAAAUAGAAAUCAGUAGUGAUCUGUGUUAGAGCAUUUGCAGCUUGCACUUGAAUGUGAACUGGAGCUACAUGUUCUUGUGAAAGAAUCUGAGGUGCUACGGUACCCAUUUUAAUUGUCUCUCACAUAAUAAAUAGAAUGCAAAUAAGGCGCAAUAACUCAUCACAUCAAAUUCAUAUUCAGCAGUUGGACUUUUUUGUUCUCACAUGCACAUCAGGCAGAUAAUGUCUAGGAAAGUUCAGUGCAUGUGUAAAUCCAGCUUAAGUUAUAGUACUUUAAUAUCAAUCCUCCUGACUGGGCAUGGGCACAUAACAGGGUACUUUUUUGGAUUUUAAAAAUGUUGUUUUGUUUUGUUUGAGCACUACUACAAGAACUCUUAACCAAAAAUACAUUUAGCAUCCAAGAUUCCUCGUUUUUGCUAAACAGGUCAAAGUUUAAAUCGGCAGUCGGUUUAUGCAAACCUUUUAAAAAAGCAAUGAAUAUUUUCUUGAAAAAAAUAUUGGAUAUUGUUUUAAAAAAUAGUUUCCUUUUAAUUUUCCCACAAUGAAUUCAAAUUAUCAUCAUUAAAUAACAGCAUUUAGUUGAAUUCUGAAGAAACAUUUCUACUCAUUUCUGCCUAAUUGCUAACAUUGAAUGAAGAAUAAUUACAGUAAUUGGUAGCCAGCAUUCCAAGUGUAUUUGCAUUUGCCACGUUAUGACUCACCAAGUCUUUAUAUUCAUAAUCAACUGUUUUAUUUACCCUUUUUAUGUCAUUUUAGUUAAAAGGAUCUUUGAAAGAAAAAUGUCCACAAAAAACAGGAGCACAUUAUUAAGUAUAAAUCAUAGGGGUUUAGAAAAUUAAUGAAUACUUUUCACUGAAGCAGUAAUUUAGUUUGGGGGUCUAAUGCUACUCUUUGUGCAUGUGCUGCUGUUGUACGCACAGCAGCAGUAGCCUUAGGCGGUUAAGAUUUGGGUAGCAUUGUACUGUUUUGUUCCUGUUCACUCUCUCUACACACCUGAGGGGGAACUAUGAUGUACAUGUCUCAUAUAACUUUAAAUUUAAUCUGGUGUUUUUCUUAUCAAACAGAUAGGGCAAUGUUACCUGUAAAAAAGGAUUUCUAUUAUAGUUAGGGUAAGCUGACAACAAUGCGCACAUAUGUGUGUAACUGCCAUGUAUAGUCACAUUUUCUUUCAACACAUUGAUUUAAAUCCAAUGAUGAUUUCUUAUGGAUGUUUCUUGUACAGAGACAGCAAGACUGAGAGAAAGGGGGAGAGAGCGAGAGAGAGAGAAAUGGAGAGUGAACACAACUCAGCCCAAAGUGCCUUGAAAAAAAUGAAGAAGGGGAAAAAAAAACAAUUCAGAUGACUGAUUGACACAGCACCCAAUUCAUCACAAUGAGAGAUGGUGGAAAGUAUCUGACAACCAAAAACCACAGUUGGAAGGCGCUCCGAGCCCCUCAAGGCCUAGAUGUGGAUGAACUGUAGUGAACUGAGUGGCAGCUAAGGACAAGAGCCCAAUGUUAAAGUGCAAACUGUGUUCAAGAUCUGCAUUCUACUGCCAGCACAUCAGUUGAUGCAAGCAUCUGCGCAGACAGCAUGCUAACACCAAGCUAGCGAAGAACCCAGAGUGAGGCUGAGUGUAUGGUGACCCCAGUCCAGUCCAGCGAUUUUAUACCUUUACUUUGUGUUUUCAGCUUUGUGUUCCAACAUAAACACUAAAAGAACGUGUUUGUGUGUUUGUCCUCUUUCUGGCAGUGUAAGGUUUGUAAGUGGUAGUUCCGUGACAAUGCAUUUCAGGACAUGUUAAGGAGUAAUACAAAAACAGUGUGUCAAGUAUUGCAGUGGGUUACUUUUUCUUUUUCUUUUCUGUAGUUCAGUAAUGUAAUGCAUUACAUGUAUUAUUAAUGUAGAAUAAAUAAUGUGUUUAAUAGAUUAGUUUUUUAAAGUAAGGGCCCCAACACUGGUAGUGACAUGCUUAAUAAAAACUUGACAAGAUAAACCAUAAUAAGCUCACCAGGAUUAUGAAAACUUUACCUUUUGAUGCUAAAUGUGAAGUAAAAUGUAACAUGAGCACACAUUCUGACUGACUGACUGAAUAGACUUUGAAGCUGAAGAAUGUGACAUGAGUUAUUAGGUCCUGUGAAGUGGGAGCACCUGCACGUGUCACACGGUAAACAAAGCUGCUUGUCAUCAGGUGUAGUGCUAGUGGCAUGUCAGACUGCUACCGCAAGAACUGCUGAAUCCAGGCCAUACGAAUAUUUGAAGACUUGUGUAUUUAUUUGUUUUAUGAGCAAAUCAGUCAAUAUUGUGAAAGGAAAAAAUCUUGCUCCUUAAAGCAACUUCUUAUGAUACCUUAAGUGAGAAAAUAAUCAUGCGUAAUAGAAAUCUGUCCAUAAUAUUAAUCUAGCAUUUGGAAUUUGGAAAUAAUUCUUUAUUUAGCUUGGGAUCGGCUGCAUGGGUGGGUUAAGAGUGUUAGGGUACCUGGGUCGUUGACCCAGUGUUUUCAGUUUUGUACCUUUAUUUGUGUUCUCAUCUUGGUUUAUUACUGUGAAUGUUCUGGUUUCUGUUUUGCAUUUCUAUUUUCCCCGGUUCAUCUUGGUUUGUGAUUUUGUAGUUGUUAAGUUUGGGUUUCCAUACUCCCUCUGUUCUGUGUCCAGUCGGUGUCUGUGUCUGCCCUGGUCCCACGUCUCUGUUCCCUCUGUUGCAGUGUCUGCUUGUGAGUCUGUGACUGUAAGUCCAGUCUGUGUUUCCUGUUUUACUUUGAAAGUCCGUGUCUCAUGUUAAUGUGUCUGCUGUUACUUCCUUUGUCUCGUCAGCCCUGAUUUGCCUCAGCUGUGUUUCCCUCCUGUCUCCCAUUCACUGAUUGCUUCCUCUGUAUUUUCCUUUGUCUGUGUUGCGAUCUACCCUCAUUCAGUACUGUGUGUUCUGUUUACUAGCCUGGUUAGUUUUUGUAUUUUUUCAGUUUAGUUUUUGGUCCGGUUCACCAUUAAAGCUGUUUUCGAGUUCACCUUUUUCGUUUCUGAGAGUCUGCACUUUGGGUCCACCAUUCCAUUUCUACUUGCACACAGCCUUCACUUGACAAAGAGGAGUUUCUAGUGAAGGAAAAACACUCAGAGGAGCUCAUUUAAAAGGCAUAAGAAAAUCAUUAGAUGCAAAACAACUUUCAUUUUACCUCCGAAGAAAUUCUGAGUGAGAACUGCUCUACGGUACCCACUGGUAACAAACCGCAAAAUAUGUCCAUGCCAAAGUCCCCAUGGCUUAUAGAUUCGUGCUUAUCAGCUGUCUAUCAGUUAGGUCUUUCUCCCCCAAAUCAUGCAUUCAAAUCUAGAAAGAUGACAGUUCCUCAUGCUUGUAGAUCAAUAUAUGUGUUUGCCCUAGAGGGAGUUGAAUCUGUUUGUAACAAGUCAUACUGAAACCAAAAAAAUUCCACUAUUUUUGAAACCUGGUGGUAUUUUUCAAACUUUAUGGGGUCUAGAUUGUUAAUAAGGACAAAAAUGUUUGGAAGAAGUCCAAUAAUGAGAAAGAUAGCUACAACUGGCUACCGUGAAGCGGCUCCGAUGUAAUCCCACAGGGCAAUUGUUUUCCCAGGUUCAGAUUGUUGAGCAAAACGUUAACAAAAGAUCCCAACAGGGACAGACCAGUACCUCUGCAAAAGUUACAUAGUUACAGAAAAUGUAGAUGUUGUUAUUGAAAAAAACAACAAAGACAAAAUGGUUUAUGGGUGCAGAUUUCUGAGUUGUGGCAACACAAUGACACACUACCCUUCACAAAAUGGCCUGGCCUGCAUUUGUAUAGCGCUUUACUUUACACUACAUUCAGUCAUUCACACACUGGCAAUGGCA
This is a long non-coding RNA of Oreochromis niloticus (Nile tilapia), 8001 nucleotides long. RefSeq lists it as uncharacterized. The record is from RefSeq and is a predicted model, not a curated record. The transcript is spliced from 3 exons. Lineage: Eukaryota; Metazoa; Chordata; Actinopteri; Cichliformes; Cichlidae.